GCCAGAGGCUGCAGGCAAUUGUCCCCCUCCUGUCACCUGGAGUCACCUGGAAGGUGCCCCUUAUCAGAGGCCAGACAUGGGGAACCUGUGGUCUCCCAGAGUGACCUUGUGAUGGAGAAUCCUGGGAUUCUAAGGAAUAGUUGCAUACCUCAGUUUCUUCCAGUUAAACUGGGGUCUAGGCAAGGACUCUGGCCACGGAGAGUCACCUCUUCUCCAUUUGUCUCUGUUGCAGCAGGAGUAACUAUGACCUGGACUACAAGCUGUACAGGGAAGAUGUCCCCUACAGGUCGGUUUCUGAAGGCCUCCCGGAAGUGACUGUGCAACCAGAGGCACCCAUUCUGGAAUGAGUGCGGUGAAAGUGGAGGCAAGGCUCAGCCAGACCAGCCAGGAGGCCUCCCCAUAACGGUGGCUUUUUC
Molecule: long non-coding RNA, 416 nt
Filed under: Ursus maritimus (polar bear)
Lineage: Eukaryota; Metazoa; Chordata; Mammalia; Carnivora; Ursidae
Description: lncRNA (ENSUMAG00000016973.1)
Source: RNAcentral